Molecule: transfer RNA, 73 nt
Filed under: Dipodomys ordii (Ord's kangaroo rat)
Lineage: Eukaryota; Metazoa; Chordata; Mammalia; Rodentia; Heteromyidae
Rfam family: tRNA
About the family: Transfer RNA (tRNA) molecules are approximately 80 nucleotides in length. Their secondary structure includes four short double-helical elements and three loops (D, anti-codon, and T loops). Further hydrogen bonds mediate the characteristic L-shaped molecular structure. tRNAs have two regions of fundamental functional importance: the anti-codon, which is responsible for specific mRNA codon recognition, and the 3' end, to which the tRNAs corresponding amino acid is attached (by aminoacyl-tRNA synthetases). tRNAs cope with the degeneracy of the genetic code in two manners: having more than one tRNA (with a specific anti-codon) for a particular amino acid; and 'wobble' base-pairing, i.e. permitting non-standard base-pairing at the 3rd anti-codon position.
Source: Rfam by way of RNAcentral
GGGGAUGUGGCUCAAGUAAUUGAGCACUUGCCUCGUAAGUGAAAGGCUCUGAGUUCAAACCCCAGGACCCCCA